CCUACGGGUGGCAGCAGUGAGGAAUAUUGGUCAAUGGGCGCGAGCCUGAACCAGCCAAGUCGCGUGAGGGAAGACUGUCCUAUGGAUUGUAAACCUCUUUUGUCGGGGAGUAAAAGCCGCCACGCGUGGCUUUCCGUGAGUACCCGAAGAAUAAGGAUCGGCUAACUCCGUGCCAGCAGCCGCGGUAAUACGGAGGAAUCGAGCGUUAUCCUGUUUUAUUGGGUUUAAAGGGUGCGCGGGCGGACGAUCAAGUCAGUGGUAAAAUUGAGAGGCUCAACAUCUUCGAGCCGUUGAAACUGGUUUUCUUGAGUGAGUGUGAAGUAUGCGGAAUGCGUGGUGUAGCGGUGAAAUGCAUAGAUAGCACGCAGAACUCAGAUUGCGAAGGCAGCAUACCGGCGCUCAACUGACGCUCAUGCACGAAAGUGUGGGUAUCGAACAGGAUUAGAUACCCGGGUAGUC
Molecule: ribosomal RNA, 459 nt
Filed under: uncultured bacterium
Lineage: Bacteria
Description: partial 16S ribosomal RNA
Rfam family: Bacterial small subunit ribosomal RNA
Source: RNAcentral